CCUACGGGUGGCAGCAGUGGGGAAUAUUGGACAAUGGGCGAAAGCCUGAUCCAGCCAUGCCGCGUGUGUGAAGAAGGCCUUCGGGUUGUAAAGCACUUUCAGUGGGGAAGAAAGCCUUGGGGCUAAUACCCUCGAGGAAGGACAUCACCCACAGAAGAAGCACCGGCUAACUCCGUGCCAGCAGCCGCGGUAAUACGGAGGGUGCGAGCGUUAAUCGGAAUUACUGGGCGUAAAGCGCGCGUAGGCGGUCUGAUAAGCCGGUUGUGAAAGCCCCGGGCUCAACCUGGGAACGGCAUCCGGAACUGUCAGGGUAGAGUGCAGGAGAGGAAGGUAGAAUUCCCGGUGUAGCGGUGAAAUGCGUAGAGAUCGGGAGGAAUACCAGUGGCGAAGGCGGCCUUCUGGACUGACACUGACGCUGAGGUGCGAAAGCGUGGGUAGCAAACAGGAUUAGAUACCCCAGUAGU
RNAcentral lists this ribosomal RNA (464 nucleotides) under Vreelandella stevensii. RNAcentral's name for it is "partial 16S ribosomal RNA". It matches the Rfam family "Bacterial small subunit ribosomal RNA", at positions 338 to 794 of the family's 1533-position model. The record is from RNAcentral. Lineage: Bacteria; Pseudomonadati; Pseudomonadota; Gammaproteobacteria; Oceanospirillales; Halomonadaceae.